Molecule: ribosomal RNA, 492 nt
Filed under: uncultured bacterium
Lineage: Bacteria
Description: partial 16S ribosomal RNA
Rfam family: Bacterial small subunit ribosomal RNA
Source: RNAcentral
AGUGAACGCUGGCGGUAGGCCUAACACAUGCAAGUCGAACGGCAGCACAGUAAGAGCUUGCUCUUACGGGUGGCGAGUGGCGGACGGGUGAGGAAUACAUCGGAAUCUACUUUUUCGUGGGGGAUAACGUAGGGAAACUUACGCUAAUACCGCAUACGACCUACGGGUGAAAGCAGGGGAUCUUCGGACCUUGCGCGAUUGAAUGAGCCGAUGUCGGAUUAGCUAGUUGGCGGGGUAAAGGCCCACCAAGGCGACGAUCCGUAGCUGGUCUGAGAGGAUGAUCAACCACACAGGAACUGAGACCCGGUCCAGACUCCUACGGAAGGCCGCAAUGGCGAAUAUUGGACAAAGGGGGCAAUCCUGCUCCAGACGUACCGCGUGGGUGGAGAAGGGAUUCGGGUUGUAAAGCCCUUUUGUUGGGAAAGAAAGGCUGCAGGUUAAUACACCGCUGUUCUGACGGUACCCAAAGAAUAAGCACCGGCUAAAUUCGUG